UAGGAGAAUUCAUCCUACCUUUCAUGUGUCUAAAAUAAAACCUGUGUUUCAGGCACGCAUUAACCCGCCGGUCCCGGUUCCCCCGCCGCCACGACUUGUUGAUGGGGAGACCACCUUUUCUGUCAAUCGUAUUUUGGACUCUAGAAGGAGGGACGCGGAUUCCAGUACCUGGUGGACUGGGAGGGUUACGGCCCGGAGGAGAGAAGCUGGGUACCUGCUAGGGACAUUCUGGAUCACUCCCUUAUCGAUGAUUUCAAUCGACAGUGUUUGUGUGGGCGUGGUUUCCCAAUCUCGGCCUGAUUGUCUGCGCCAGCUGGAACCACUUAUCUUCCCUUUAUAUGUUCUGUUACCAGUGUUUCUUGUUGUCAGAUCGUUGUUUCUUCUCUGAGGUUGUGUCGUGUGUCCGUGCUCUUCUCUUGUGUGGAUUAUCUGCUGUGCUCCUUCCUACUCAUCUGGACACACUCCCCUGGUUUUCUCAGCACGUUAUGAUCGGAAGAUGCGCCCGAGUUCCUGGGUCGGAUUCCUUCUGAGUACAGUCUGUCUGUCAUGUUGCUGCUGUGAACUACAUUCAUUAAAACCAUCGUUGCUUGCA
Molecule: long non-coding RNA, 592 nt
Organism: Oncorhynchus masou masou (cherry salmon)
Lineage: Eukaryota; Metazoa; Chordata; Actinopteri; Salmoniformes; Salmonidae
Exons: 2
Source: RefSeq, a predicted model, not a curated record